UAAGGGAGCGUAGGCGGCUGAUUAAGUCAGCGGUGAAGGUAGCAGCUUAACUGUUUUACAUGCCGUUGAUACUGGUUAGCUUGAGUUGACAGAAGGCAGAUAGAAUUCCUGGUGUAGCGGUGAAAUGCUUAGAUACCAGGAGGAAUACCGAUUGCGAAGGCAGUCUGCUGCAGUCACACUGACGCUGAGGCUCGAAGGUGCGGGGAUCAAACAGGAUUAGAUACCCUUGU
Molecule: ribosomal RNA, 230 nt
Filed under: uncultured bacterium
Lineage: Bacteria
Description: partial 16S ribosomal RNA
Rfam family: Bacterial small subunit ribosomal RNA
Source: RNAcentral